Molecule: long non-coding RNA, 1227 nt
Filed under: Oryctolagus cuniculus (rabbit)
Lineage: Eukaryota; Metazoa; Chordata; Mammalia; Lagomorpha; Leporidae
Description: lncRNA (ENSOCUG00000036286.1)
Source: RNAcentral
AAGUGCCCCCACCGAAGAGGGCUUUCUGCCACUGGACACCCAAUGAGGCCGGACCCUGGAGGUACCAGAGGAAACCCAGGGCACAGAAAACACUGAGAGGUACUGACCUCACUCAGAAGGUCAUGGUGGACUUCCUGGAGGAAGAAGGUGAUUAAUAAAAGGAGAACCACGUGAGGAGAAACCGGCCUUUUACUCGCCUAGCACUCCCACAGGGUGACUGCAUGGCUCCCACGACCAGUUCCUGGCAGGCCCGCCCCCAGGCACAGGUGCCAAUCCUCACCCUUAAUAACCACUGCGAACCAAAGAUGGCACCCUUUCCCACUCUGCAAAGAACGGACGCCACUCCAACUGUGGCGUUUCAGGCUCUUCUCCCGGGAAUGCUUCCAUUACACUGAAAGGACUGCCACCCCACCUCCCUUCUCCCAGGAGGGCACUUGGACACCACCGAUAGGCGCAGGCAGGCGAGCGCGCCGCGGCUCCGGGGCGGGGGCGAGGGUCCCCAUGCGCAGGCGGGCGGCGCGGCGUGCAGGGAGGCCGGCGCUCGGCAGAGGGCGCCGGGGAGCCGCGGGGGUCAGCCCGCGUGCCGCGCGGCGGGCGCGGUGCCCUCAGGCGCCGAGCACGUGGACGCGCCGUGAGGGAGCAGCUUCUGAGGCCCGGCCCCGGCGUCGUGCGCGUCCGCUGUGGCCGUGGCCGUGGCCCUCGCGGCGUCUAGGGGUCACUCUAACCCCCCGCCCUCAGGCCGUGCCGGGCGCCGACACCCUCCCUGGGCUCCCACUAAGUCUGAGCUUCCAGACGAGGCCCGAAGGGGACAGUGGUGAGCGGACUGGGCGGCCCCUGGAUGAAGUGGGCCCGGAACCCAAAAGCUCCAGCUGUCACUUGAUCAUCGUGGACUUCCCUGGUCUCCUCACCUUCAACUGGAGCGUCCGAGACCAGCCAGCUGUACCUCCUUCAUUCUGUUCUGCGGAGAGGGACCGGAUGGACUCAGCUUGCCUCUGGCUGUGCACACCCUGGCUCUGGGCGGCUAGCAUCUGGGUGCACCGGCCUUGGGCCAGGGGGACCUUCAGGACCAAUCAUGAGGAGCCUCACGAUGGAGAAAGAGUUGAGAGCCCUGAGCCCACUUUAUGGAUGCUUGGAAGAGAAGGGAGAGCCUGCAAGACUAGAAGCAAGUGUGUUGAUACUGGCCCUCACGGGGCUCCUGAGCACUUAAGUGUUUGGCUUCAAGAGUGA